Molecule: RNA transcript, 1497 nt
Organism: Diospyros lotus (date-plum)
Lineage: Eukaryota; Viridiplantae; Streptophyta; Magnoliopsida; Ericales; Ebenaceae
Exons: 2
Source: RefSeq, a predicted model, not a curated record
UCACUCCAUCGUCAUCCUCUUAUUAAUAUCUGACGAUUCAGUGCAAGCAGUAAUUAAUUAAUCAGCCAGGCGAAACUUCAUCGGUUCUUCCUUGAAAUUUCCUUGGAAUUUCAUUUCUACGCGCAUUGGAGCAUUAUAAAAGCCCGUGCCGUGAUUCAUCGCUCAUUCCAGCGCCAUUUUCGGCUUUCAUUGUUUAGCUUGUCGGAGUUCAUCAGACAGGGCGCUGCCGGAGACUCACGGCUCGCAGAACCAGCUUCAUACGAUGCUGUUUUGAAGAAUGAAGGGGGAACAGAAGGCCCUUUGGCAACCGCCCAUUAGCAGCCCAAAACAACCGAGUUUUGGACCCAUGGGCUGGAGGGCCAAAACGGCGAUCUCCCCUGCCGUUUCAUCAGCUAGCACGUCUUGCUUGUCGUUUAGCCUGUUUCUCUUUUACCCAUCAAUUCUAUCUUUUUCAGAUCAAAUCCUCACCGCUGCCUUCCCUUAUUUAUAUUCUCUGGCACCUCGAGAUCUGUGCAGUCCAAACUCCGAUUGAUUAUACCAUUUUAGGGUUUUCUCAUUCUCUUUCAUGAUUUGCUCUAUGUACAGUUCUCCUCUCUAUUUUCUCUCUAAGGUUGCCUCUAAUAUGUAUUCGUGUGGUUAUGGGGCAUUUUUCAUUAGAGAGCAUUUUGCUUGUACAGUGAGUGAAUGAGAGUGUGAUAUGUAUAUUGAGACUGUAAUCAUUUUUUUAAUAAUAUAGUGAGCUCUCAUUGUCGGAACUCAAUGUGAAUGUAGCCCUCAUUAAUGAGUGAACCACGAUAAAUCGUUUUGUGAUCAAUCUUGCAUUCUAUUUAUGUUUCAUUUAAUUACAUGCGAGUUCUCCUUUAUCGUUUAUUCUGUGUUUGGUGUUUUGAGGCUCUGUUUAAUUUUGAGAUUCUGAUUAUUUGUGGUGGCCGAGGUUUUUAUCUCGACCCAACACUUAUAAAGGAUAAAACUAGUUAAAAAUGUCUAGAUUAAGACUUAUAAUUAUUAUUGUCAUAUUUAUUAUAAUUUAUAAUUAUAAACCCUUUUGGUAAAUGCUUUAAUUUUGUUUUGUAUAAUUCUAAAUAAAAAUUCUAUACAUAAUUUUUGCUAGCUUGUAUGAUAUGAAGGAGAAAGAUAUAUAUUUUGUAAUGGUUAUUACUUAUUAAGCUUCUUUUGUAAUCUCGCUCUUGUUCAAUCUUUAAAGUCAAGUGGUGGAGUUUAGUUUCUUACUUAUAGUGUUCUUUCUUUUUGCUUUAAGAGGUUUGUGUGCAUCUUUCCGUCUUUUGUAACGGUGGUUGGAUAUGGUGUCUUUUUGAGCAUUUGAUUAGAUGGAUAUAUGGGGAAAGAUUGUCAAGAGUGUAGUUUUGCUCCAUACCACCGGCCUUCUCGGGUCGUCUUCUUGUCCUUUUAUUGGACGUUGGCCUCUCUCAUUCUUUGUAUUGAAAUCUCUAAGCUAUAAUUUGACCAUCUCCCCCAAGCCCUUUGGUCUUUUGCCUU